Molecule: small nucleolar RNA, 132 nt
Filed under: Coniosporium apollinis CBS 100218
Lineage: Eukaryota; Fungi; Ascomycota; Dothideomycetes
Description: A. fumigatus snoRNA Afu_198
Rfam family: A. fumigatus snoRNA Afu_198
Source: Rfam by way of RNAcentral
UUGCCCGGAUUAUAAUGAUGAGAUAUCUUCACCCUCAAAUUUCUUAUAGGAAGAGCCGGAAAAGGUAUGGCUAGUAUCGACAAAUGCCGGCCGUCGCUGCUUAUAAAACGGGUCUCUGAGAUACUUGCUUCU